This 265-nucleotide ribosomal RNA is filed under the name uncultured bacterium. RNAcentral's name for it is "partial 16S ribosomal RNA". It matches the Rfam family "Bacterial small subunit ribosomal RNA", at positions 80 to 339 of the family's 1533-position model. The record is from RNAcentral.
AAAGCGUGCGAUAGAGUUAGUGGCGGACGGGUGAGUAACGCGUGAGCAACCUGCCUUUGAUAGGGGGAUAACAGAGGGAAACUUCUGCUAAUACCGCAUGAUGCAUGGGGAUCGCAUGGUAUCCAUGCCAAAGGAGCAAUCCGAUCAAAGAUGGGCUCGCGUCCGAUUAGAUAGUUGGUGGGGUAACGGCCCACUAAGUCGACGAUCGGUAGCCGGACUGAGAGGUUGAACGGCCACAUUGGAACUGAGAGACGGUCCAGACUCC